This 71-nucleotide transfer RNA is filed under the name Chitinophagaceae bacterium. RNAcentral describes it as "tRNA-Cys". It matches the Rfam family "tRNA". Rfam says of the family: Transfer RNA (tRNA) molecules are approximately 80 nucleotides in length. Their secondary structure includes four short double-helical elements and three loops (D, anti-codon, and T loops). Lineage: Bacteria; Pseudomonadati; Bacteroidota; Chitinophagia; Chitinophagales; Chitinophagaceae. RNAcentral also lists the same sequence under 1 other name. The record is from RNAcentral.
GGUCAUGUGGCCGAGGGGUGAGGCAAGGGUCAGCAAAACCCUUAACGAUGGUUCGAUCCCAUCUAUGACAA